Meleagris gallopavo (turkey) is the source of this 1857-nucleotide non-coding RNA. The record is from RefSeq and is a predicted model, not a curated record. Lineage: Eukaryota; Metazoa; Chordata; Aves; Galliformes; Phasianidae.
UCUCAAGUGACUGAAAUGUAGGUGGAAAGCCAGCUUAAACAAUACAUCUGAGGAUUUCAGCAUUAGAUGAUCAACCUCAUAGAGGUCCAACACAAGAUGACCAAAUAGGUAACCCCAAAUGACAGCAGAACAACCUCCAGACGGAGUUGCUAGCUCCUAAUUGGUCUGGUAUCACUGGUGGCAGCCAACAACCAGUCCUUAUUAUGAUAUUGUCAGAGCAGAGAAAUCAUGGUCACAGGGGAAAAAGUCUCAAGGGCAAGAUUUUCUGAAUAUGUGAAUAUGCAGCACUCCUAUAAGUCUGCUCCAUGCUCAGGAUUGUUUUGGCUUCCAGAGGAAGGAAAGCAAAUUGCUGAAAGUAAAGCAAAUUCCCAUCCUUUGUGCCUGCAGGAGUUAGCAGAGAAAGGACAGCAUGCAGAGAGCUGGACUGUUUUAGGGGAGAGAGACUCUGAAGAAAGCACAAGGCUGAUUUUUAGAGAGAAUAAAAGCAAGGAGGUGCUCUGAAGAAAGGAGCAGUAAAUGCUGUGUAGCAGGUUUUUAGGUGACUGCAUUAAAACCAGGAUUCAGUAGCCUAUUUUGCCCUGAAAAGACACCAAACGUGGUGAUGUGAUGUCAGUCCCUCCAGCUCACCUUUCUCCUGGGGGUCUGUGCAGCUCCCUCUGGUCCCUCAGCUGCUGGAGUUAUCUUGGAGUCUACAAACUCUCAGCACCAUCACUCAUUCUACAAAUAUGACAGAGAGCCCAAAACCAACUUUGAGAUUUAGAUGAAACUGACUGAAUCUGGACUUCCAGUGAGACAAGCAAAGUUGAAAGCUGUUGAAGAAAUCAAGACAGAAAAGCUAAGUGCUUUUGCUUCACAAGACGUCCAAAAAAAACAGAGAGCCAAAGGGCAAGCCUCUGUUGCUGCUUGCUGUGGGGAGACACCAAAUAACUUUAUGAACUCUGCAUUCCUCAAAAACAGAUAUUUUCCUCCACAUUGAGUACCACGGUGCCAGGACUAAGUUAGCAAAAAGUGCUGGGACUGGGGAGUUCUAUGUUAACUUACAUAUAUCUUCAAAACACCCAAACCAGCCUUGUGCCCUAAUGUGCAUUUGACUUGGGGAUUGUCAGAGUCCAGCAAACAACCACUACGGCUGCAGCAAGGCAACGCAGAAAAGACCCUUUCCAGUCCUCUUCCACAAGCAGAAAGAUCCUCUGCUGAAAACAAGGUCAUCUAUCUUAGAUUAAGCUUUAUUUUUUUUGGUGAAACUCAGAUCACUCAACACCUGGAGGCAAUUUCCUAAGCAUCUGCAUUUUUACAACACGCAGCCAAGGUGGGAUGAAAGGGCAAAACUUACUCGGCUGUCAGAAAAGCUGGCGCUCCCAGGCUUGGCAAGCUUGCUUUGGCAGAGCAGCAUUGCCAUGUGCAGGGUAUCCAUGCAAAGCUUCUCAUUUAAGCAAAGCAACAUCAGGGCUGUGAUUUUCCCUUUGCUAUACAGAACAUAUACAUUUCAGUAAAUUUCAGUCACACAAGAGUGGGUGUAACACUGAGCAGCAGCACUACAAACAGAGGAUGCAAUUAUACUUGCAAAGUGUACAGAGCCCCGCAGGUUGGCCAUCUCUCAUUCCUGACCUGGGUCAGUUUGCAGUUUUUAUCCUUUCAGUUCUACAAGCAACAUGUAAUUGGAUUCCCCCUCCCCCCCUACCAUGUUCCCACGGGUUACAGCAAGUUAAAUGUCCUUGAAGAAAUAAAAGCGUUUUCUGAAUUUAAAUCUGCAUUUCAAAAAUGUUAUGAAUUUAAAAAGACGGGCAGAAAAAAUGGAUCCCUAGAAAGUGUUAUAUUGGUCUUUUUUAAGAUAAUUAUAAAGAAACAAUCAGAAUA